This 400-nucleotide ribosomal RNA is filed under the name uncultured bacterium. RNAcentral describes it as "bacterial SSU rRNA". It matches the Rfam family "Bacterial small subunit ribosomal RNA", at positions 356 to 773 of the family's 1533-position model. The record is from RNAcentral.
GGGGAAUAUUGGACAAUGGGCGCAAGCCUGAUCCAGCCAUGCCGCGUGAGUGAUGAAGGCCUUAGGGUUGUAAAGCUCUUUCAGCGGGGAAGAUAAUGACGGUACCCGCAGAAGAAGCCCCGGCUAACUUCGUGCCAGCAGCCGCGGUAAUACGAAGGGGGCUAGCGUUGUUCGGAAUCACUGGGCGUAAAGCGCACGUAGGCGGAUCGAUAAGUCAGAGGUGAAAGCCCGAGGCUCAACCUCGGAAUUGCCUUUGAUACUGUCGAUCUUGAGUCCGGGAGAGGUGAGUGGAACUCCGAGUGUAGAGGUGAAAUUCGUAGAUAUUCGGAAGCACACCAGUGGCGAAGGCGGCUCACUGGCCCGGUACUGACGCUGAGGUGCGAAAGCGUGGGGAGCAAAC